CCCCUAGAUGUUCUGGGCCGCACGCGCGCUACACUGAACAGUUCAACAAGUCUUAACCUUGGCCGAUAGGUCUGGGUAAUCUUUGAACGCUGUUCGUGAUUGGGAUAGACCUUUGCAAUUAUGGGUCUUCAACGAGGAAUUCCUAGUAAACGCAAGUCAUCAGCUUGCAUUGAUUACGUCCCUGCCCUUUGUACACACCGCCCGUCGCACCUACCGAUUGAAUGGUCCGGUGAAAUCUCGGGACGGCGGCUCGGUCGCUUGCGUCCGACUGCUGAAACUUGAUUAAACCAUAUCAUUUAGAGGGAGGUGAAGUCGUAACA
RNAcentral lists this ribosomal RNA (320 nucleotides) under uncultured eukaryote. Its description in RNAcentral is "partial 18S ribosomal RNA". It matches the Rfam family "Eukaryotic small subunit ribosomal RNA", at positions 1470 to 1796 of the family's 1831-position model. The record is from RNAcentral.